RNAcentral lists this unclassified non-coding RNA (574 nucleotides) under Colletotrichum gloeosporioides. Its description in RNAcentral is "partial contains 18S rRNA, ITS1, 5.8S rRNA, ITS2 and 28S RNA". The stretch from base 215 to 368 matches the Rfam family "5.8S ribosomal RNA". Lineage: Eukaryota; Fungi; Ascomycota; Sordariomycetes; Glomerellales; Glomerellaceae. The record is from RNAcentral.
CGUAACAAGGUCUCCGUUGGUGAACCAGCGGAGGGAUCAUUACUGAGUUUACGCUCUAUAACCCUUUGUGAACAUACCUAUAACUGUUGCUUCGGCGGGUAGGGUCUCCGCGACCCUCCCGGCCUCCCGCCUCCGGGCGGGUCGGCGCCCGCCGGAGGAUAACCAAACUCUGAUUUAACGACGUUUCUUCUGAGUGGUACAAGCAAAUAAUCAAAACUUUUAACAACGGAUCUCUUGGUUCUGGCAUCGAUGAAGAACGCAGCGAAAUGCGAUAAGUAAUGUGAAUUGCAGAAUUCAGUGAAUCAUCGAAUCUUUGAACGCACAUUGCGCCCGCCAGCAUUCUGGCGGGCAUGCCUGUUCGAGCGUCAUUUCAACCCUCAAGCUCUGCUUGGUGUUGGGGCCCUACAGCUGAUGUAGGCCCUCAAAGGUAGUGGCGGACCCUCCCGGAGCCUCCUUUGCGUAGUAACUUUACGUCUCGCACUGGGAUCCGGAGGGACUCUUGCCGUAAAACCCCCCAAUUUUCCAAAGGUUGACCUCGGAUCAGGUAGGAAUACCCGCUGAACUUAAGCAUAUC